UGCCAGCAGCCGCGGUAAUACGGAGGGGGUUAGCGUUGUCCGGAAUUAUUGGGCGUAAAGAGCACGUAGGCUGCCCGGUUAGUCCGCUGUAAAAGUCAAAGGCUCAACCUUUGAAUGCCGGUGGAUACUGCCGGGCUAGAGUCCGGAAGAGGCGAGUGGAAUUCCUGGUGUAGCGGUGGAAUGCGCAGAUAUCAGGAGGAACACCCAUAGCGAAGGCAGCUCGCUGGGACGGUACUGACGCUGAGGUGCGAAAGCGUGGGGAGCAAACAGGAUUAGAUA
Molecule: ribosomal RNA, 279 nt
Filed under: uncultured bacterium
Lineage: Bacteria
Description: partial 16S ribosomal RNA
Rfam family: Bacterial small subunit ribosomal RNA
Source: RNAcentral